This 519-nucleotide ribosomal RNA is filed under the name uncultured bacterium. RNAcentral describes it as "partial 16S ribosomal RNA". It matches the Rfam family "Bacterial small subunit ribosomal RNA", at positions 28 to 523 of the family's 1533-position model. The record is from RNAcentral.
GACGAACGCUGGCGGCGUGCCUAAUACAUGCAAGUCGAACGCUUUUUCUUUCACCGGAGCUUGCUCCACCGAAAGAAAAAGAGUGGCGAACGGGUGAGUAACACGUGGGUAACCUGCCCAUCAGAAGGGGAUAACACUUGGAAACAGGUGCUAAUACCGUAUAACACUAUUUUCCGCAUGGAAGAAAGUUGAAAGGCGCUUUUGCGUCACUGAUGGAUGGACCCGCGGUGCAUUAGCUAGUUGGUGAGAUAACGGCUCACCAAGGCAACGAUGCAUAGCCGACCUGGGAGGGUGAUCGGCCACACUGGGACUGAGACGCGGCCCAGACUCCUACGGGAGGCAGCAGUAGGGAAUCUUCGGCAAUGGACGAAAGUCUGACCGAGCAACGCCGCGUGAGUGAAGAAGGUUUUCGGAUCGUAAAACUCUGUUGUUAGAGAAGAACAAGGAUGAGAGUAGAACGUUCGAUGACGGUACCUGAGAAGAAAGCCCCGGCUAACUACGUGCCAGCAGCCGCGGAAA